CUUUAUUAAUUUAUAAGUUUGUUGUUGAGAGCAUCAUCUCUUCUGCCGCUAUCUGUUGGGGCAGCAGCAUCAGAACCAGGGAGAUAAAAAAGACUCAACA
Poecilia latipinna (sailfin molly) is the source of this 100-nucleotide long non-coding RNA. RefSeq lists it as uncharacterized. Lineage: Eukaryota; Metazoa; Chordata; Actinopteri; Cyprinodontiformes; Poeciliidae. The transcript has 3 exons. The record is from RefSeq and is a predicted model, not a curated record.